Long non-coding RNA from Drosophila teissieri, 678 nucleotides. RefSeq lists it as uncharacterized. NCBI's taxonomy places the organism in Eukaryota, Metazoa, Arthropoda, Insecta, Diptera, Drosophilidae. The record is from RefSeq and is a predicted model, not a curated record. The transcript has 3 exons.
GCCGCUAUUACCGGAUACCAAAAUUGUCGAAGCAUUUAAUCUUCUCGAAAUACAAGCAGCUGCUCUAAGCAAGGAGAACUUUUCGCCCUUUUUAAAAUAUUAUAAAAAACAGUGGCUUAUAAAGGAAGGACCUAAAAAUAUUUCAGUUUUUAAACGUUCGACGCGGACCACAGGCAUACAAUUUGAAUUUGGGCAACAAAAUACGAGCAAAAGGGCACUUUUUUAAAUUUGUUGAAUGCAUCAUAGACGCCGAAUAUGAAAAAAGUCGGGAGUUCGCUCUGCUUUUUCAAAACGGUGGUAUAGGCAAUCAUACGCAACCAAAGCAGCUUCGAGACCGUGCUCAAAAAAUUAUGAACUGUAUGGAGAUGUUCGAGAAAGGCGAAAUCGAUAUUCAGGUGUUCUUGGCACGGACUGUCGGUCUAAAUGAAACAUUUUCAAAACAAGAUCUUUUUUCUGGAAUGUGUUCCGACCUAAACUCUUCCACAUCAUCGUCAUCAAGUUCAUCAAAUUUAAGCCAACUCUCGGAUUCGUUAUUUAUACAACAAAAUCCUUGUAAUGUAUGCUUAAUGAAUCCGAAAUCUGUAAUGCUUCGCCCCUGUAACCAUGUCAACAUAUGUAGUACAUGCUGGGACCAACUUGUCGAUAACCACGAACAAAAUGGAAUUGAAACUAAUCCCA